AGGCGAACGAGAAGAUCCAUUCGAGUGUGUGGUUUUAAGCCUCUGCGUUUCUAACGUGAUAUUUCGAAAUGCAUCGUGAUUCCUGUCCUUUAGACUGCAAGGUUUAUGUAGGCAAUCUUGGAAACAAUGGCAACAAGACUGAAUUGGAACGGGAUAUUAUGGCCCCCUCCGAAGUGUGUGGGUUGCUAGAAACCCUCCCGGCUUUGCUUUUGUUGAAUUUGAAGAUCCUCGGGAUGCAGCUGAUGCUGUUCGAGAGCUAGAUGGAAGAACAUUGUGUGGCUGCCGUUUAAGAGUGGAAUUGUCAAAUGGUGAAAAAAGAAGCCGGAAUCGUGGUCCACCUCCCUCUUGGGGACAUCGCCCUCAGGAUGAUUAUUGUAGAAGAAGUCCUCCACCUUGUCGCAGAUCUCCAAGGAGAAGCUUCUCUCGCAGCCGGAGCAGGUCCCUUUCUAGAGACAGGAGAAGAGAGAAAUCACUGUCUCGGGAGAGAAAUCAUAAGCCAUCCCGAUCCUUCUCUAGGUCUCGUAGCCGAUCUAGGUCAAAUGAAAGGAAAUAGAAGAUUGGUUUGCAAGAAGAGGAGUGGUGUACAGGAAAUAACUUCAUUUGACGGGAGUAUGUACAGAAAAUUCAAGUUUUGUUUGAGACGUCAGAAGCCUGGUGCAUUUUUAAGAUGUUUAGCUGUUCGAAUUUGUUUAUUGUCUCUUGUAACAAUGACACAUGAAGAUGUAAUUCUCUAUGGUUUGAAAUGGAUCAUAUGAGGCAUGUGAUAAACAAGAAUUUAUUACUUUACAAUGUCCCCUUAAGCAAAAUUGAAUUUGCUUUGAACUUUUAGUCUUGCCUAGACUCAUAAUAAACCUCUAAAUCUUGCCCAGCUAAAGUGUGAUGUUUUAAUAUUACAAAAAUAAAUCUGACAAAAAUUGA
Chrysochloris asiatica (Cape golden mole) is the source of this 918-nucleotide RNA transcript. It is a transcript of the gene named serine/arginine-rich splicing factor 3-like, with no coding region annotated. NCBI's taxonomy places the organism in Eukaryota, Metazoa, Chordata, Mammalia, Afrosoricida, Chrysochloridae. The record is from RefSeq and is a predicted model, not a curated record. The transcript has a single exon.